This 465-nucleotide ribosomal RNA is filed under the name Vreelandella stevensii. RNAcentral describes it as "partial 16S ribosomal RNA". It matches the Rfam family "Bacterial small subunit ribosomal RNA", at positions 338 to 795 of the family's 1533-position model. Lineage: Bacteria; Pseudomonadati; Pseudomonadota; Gammaproteobacteria; Oceanospirillales; Halomonadaceae. The record is from RNAcentral.
CCUACGGGGUGCUGCAGUGGGGUAUAUUGGACAAUGGGCGAAAGCCUGAUCCAGCCAUGCCGCGUGUGUGAAGAAGGCCUUCGGGUUGUAAAGCACUUUCAGUGGGGAAGAAAGCCUUGGGGCUAAUACCCUCGAGGAAGGACAUCACCCACAGAAGAAGCACCGGCUAACUCCGUGCCAGCAGCCGCGGUAAUACGGAGGGUGCGAGCGUUAAUCGGAAUUACUGGGCGUAAAACGCGCGUAGGCGGUCUGAUAAGCCGGUUGUGAAAGCCCCGGGCUCAACCUGGGAACGGCAUCCGGAACUGUCAGGCUAGAGUGCAGGAGAGGAAGGUAGAAUUCCCGGUGUAGCGGUGAAAUGCGUAGAGAUCGGGAGGAAUACCAGUGGCGAAGGCGGCCUUCUGGACUGACACUGACGCUGAGGUGCGAAAGCGUGGGUAGCAAACAGGAUUAGAUACCCCAGUAGUC